Molecule: ribosomal RNA, 253 nt
Filed under: uncultured bacterium
Lineage: Bacteria
Description: partial 16S ribosomal RNA
Rfam family: Bacterial small subunit ribosomal RNA
Source: RNAcentral
UACGUAGGGUGCAAGCGUUGUCCGGAAUUAUUGGGCGUAAAGAGCUCGUAGGCGGUCUGUCACGUCGGCUGUGAAAUCCCGAGGCUCAACCUCGGGUCUGCAGUCGAUACGGGCAAACUAGAGUACUGCAGGGGAGACUGGAAUUCCUGGUGUAGCGGUGAAAUGCGCAGAUAUCAGGAGGAACACCGGUGGCGAAGGCGGGUCUCUGGGCAGUAACUGACGCUGAGGAGCGAAAGCGUGGGGAGCGAACAGG